UAGCCCUAUAGGAAAAUAUUACAGAUGGCA
RNAcentral lists this non-coding RNA (30 nucleotides) under Mus musculus (house mouse). The record is from RNAcentral. Lineage: Eukaryota; Metazoa; Chordata; Mammalia; Rodentia; Muridae.